Penaeus monodon (black tiger shrimp) is the source of this 845-nucleotide long non-coding RNA. RefSeq lists it as uncharacterized. The transcript has 2 exons. The record is from RefSeq and is a predicted model, not a curated record. NCBI's taxonomy places the organism in Eukaryota, Metazoa, Arthropoda, Malacostraca, Decapoda, Penaeidae.
UGUAUUAUAUAUAUGUAUAUAUCUAUGUGUGUGUGUUGAUAUAUAUGUAUAUAUAUUAUAUAUAUACAUAUGUAUGUGUGUGUGUGUGUAUGCAUAUUCAACUGUAAUUUUAGAGAGCUCAGUGUCUAAAUGUGACUGUUUCAAAGACGAAUGUGAAAUCUAAGUGUGAAUUCAGUCUCCACGUAUGACUCAUGUCUACAAAGUUAGUGUCAGAGGGCAUGCAGUGUGACUUCAGUCUACAAACACAAGACAGGACUUCAGGAGAGACUUCAAUUAUAUGUAGCCUUCCAGAAUCCACCUUGGAAUGCCACGCUCCAACAGGAACUCAAAGCAGGAGAGAAGAUCGGGCCUCAGACAUCACAGCGGGAUUUUAGUGUCCAUUUGGCCCUGAAAAUAUACCCGAAUGUCAGCCGGGCUUCAGACAUCUUUUCAAGCCAUCAAACUUGGAAAGUCUAAGGAAUUCUGAAGCGUCUAACUCCAGCCUAUGAAGUCACAUUUCAGAUUUACACAGAUUUACCUGGAAUCUUGCACCAUAGUUGCCCUGAAGUCUGAAAUGCUGUAUCCCUUCUGGUCCCUGAUGCCUCUACAAAGUCAUCCUCGAGGAAGUCCGUCAUCCCAGGGUGCUUGUAGGCCAUUGCUCCUUCACUCGAACGGAAAAGUCAUAUUCAAGCCUGAGAUGUUCACACUUAAAGAGGUCGUAGUCACACUGAUACGACCUGUCACACUACAUUCGUUGUUUCAGUCAGUUAUAUGCAUAUGUAUGUGUGUGUGUAUAUAUAUAUAUAUAUAUAUAUAUAUAUAUAUAUAUAUAUAUAUAUAUAGAGAGAGAGAGAGAGAGAGAGAGA